Molecule: RNA transcript, 1878 nt
Organism: Magnolia sinica
Lineage: Eukaryota; Viridiplantae; Streptophyta; Magnoliopsida; Magnoliales; Magnoliaceae
Gene name: putative pectate lyase 14
Exons: 9
Source: RefSeq, a predicted model, not a curated record
UACAUGAGCACAAAGAAAUUGUACAUGUGGCUUACAUACACUCAAAGUAAACUGCUUAAAUAACAGAUCUUUAUACUGGAGCUCUUUUUCUAUUAUUCUUUUUGCCAUAUCCUUAAUUGCGGGUUGGCUACACCUACAACCCACACUUCCUAAUGCUAGGGAAUUCAACAUGUCCAGGUAAUAUUAGAGAGGGUAGAGCAUUUUGCUCAGUUAGUUUCUAUAUAUGAAGAUCAAAUAUUUCAAAAAAGAGCUCGUAUUCAGCAGGUCCCACAGCUUCCACGUUAAGCAAAUCCGAGUGCAGGCACGGGUAUUUCCAUGUGGUGAACAAUGACUACACUCACUGGGAGAUGUAUGCGAUUGGCGGAAGUGCAAAUCCCACUAUCAACAGCCAGGGCAACAAAUAUCUUGCCCCGAUGAAUCGCUUUGCCAAGGAGGCACUUGUGGUGAAGCUAAGGAAAGGCACCGGGCCAAAUGCUAAUACUGGUGUUGUCACUAGAGUUCUUGCAACUGUUGGGGAGCUUGCUAGGGUGUGCCAUUGGCACUCUCCUGAACUGAAUAUGUAGUGCAAAAAUGCCACUGGCACUCUCCUCAGAGGACAUCAUCAAUGGGAACAGACAAGCAAGUGGAGGCCUUUGGCUCUGUCCAGAAACGGAUCGCAAACCUCCUAGAAAUUCCUUUAGCCUGCAGGAAAAAGGAAACCAAAACUAUUGAGAAGCGGAAUUGUACAAUACUCUGACAGAUUCAACAUCCACACAUCCACAGUGCUGAAUAGGGCAUAAUUACAGUUUGGGGGCUACUUCCUCAUACAAAUACUAAUGGAGAAGCUCAACCUAGUGAAUAGUGUGCUAUUUACUGGUGGAUGGGCUAAAACUGGUUUAUACUAUGAGACUGUGCAGGAGAUUUUCAAGAUUUCCCAACUGAAGUUCGGAAGUAGUGAAACUUUUUUCUGAAAACAAUUUCCCGACAACAUUUGCAGGUUUGUUUUCCGGGCCAAUUGCAACUAUUCAAGUUCCAACUAUCAACAUUUGCAGGUGUCAUGACUGCAUAUAUAGCAUUUGGGAAUAAAGAUAUUAAAUCCAGAGCUGAGAGAUUUUUGAGCAGUAUCACAAAUUCAAUUGAGACAGUUCUGAGGCGCAAUGUGGAAGUCAGAAUGGGACUUAUUGCAGAUGGGGAAAAUUCUAUAAACAGGAUAAAAGCAGUCGAGUCACCAGAUUCUAUGGCAGUGGCAUAGAAGCAGAUGGAAAUGAUUGGGAUGAUGGGCAGGCACCGAAAUGCAGAUAAUAGCAGAUUAAGUACAUCAUAUCAGGGCCCAUGUAAAGAACAACUCAAUCUGACCAGAAAAAGCUUUAAUGGUUAUGAGUGGAUGCUGCGAAGAACCCCAGAUUCGUGAGAUUUGUUUAUUGUAGAAAAUUGAGAAUGGGUUCUGAUUGAGCAUGUGCAGGUUUGGGGGCUUCCUUGUGCCCACAAUUUCCAUGUGGAAUGCAUUGAUGAGUGGCUCCAGCUGAAUGUAAAGUGCCCCCGUUGCCGCUACUCCGUCUUCCCUAACCUCGACCUCAGCGCCCUCUCCAACCUUCACGCUGACUCUGGUUGUCCCUCUGCUAGUGUUUUGACGGCCACACACUAUGUGCACACGCAGCUAGCAGGCCAGAGCUACCUGUUGAGGUUGUAGACCGACAAUCCGAAUGGAGAAUGCUGGUGAAGGCAAUGAUGAUGCUGGCCUAGAAGCAGCAGAAGAUGGACGGGCAGUGUUAUGUCAGGGUCCGCCAAGCACGACAGCACCAGUGAUGACGGGCGCGGCCAUGACAUUGUAUUAUUUGUGGAACCUAAUGUUAUGUAACAGUUUGAUUGAGUUAAACUUUAAAUAGACUGUCGUUAACU